Molecule: transfer RNA, 72 nt
Filed under: Nanoarchaeum equitans Kin4-M
Lineage: Archaea; Nanobdellati; Nanobdellota; Candidatus Nanoarchaeia; Nanoarchaeales; Nanoarchaeaceae
Description: tRNA-Thr (CGT) (tRNA-Thr-CGT-1-1)
Rfam family: tRNA
About the family: Transfer RNA (tRNA) molecules are approximately 80 nucleotides in length. Their secondary structure includes four short double-helical elements and three loops (D, anti-codon, and T loops).
Source: Rfam by way of RNAcentral
GCCGCCGUAGCUUAGUGGUAGAGCGGCGGCCUCGUAAGCCGCAGGUCGCGGGUUCGAAUCCCGCCGGCGGCU